RNAcentral lists this small RNA (55 nucleotides) under Caenorhabditis elegans. RNAcentral's name for it is "Unclassified non-coding RNA K08H10.14". Lineage: Eukaryota; Metazoa; Nematoda; Chromadorea; Rhabditida; Rhabditidae. The record is from RNAcentral.
ACUUGUUUACAGUUACGCCCCAUUUUUGGGACCUCAAAAACCGAAACAACAACAA